Molecule: transfer RNA, 66 nt
Filed under: Ectatops sp.
Lineage: Eukaryota; Metazoa; Arthropoda; Insecta; Hemiptera; Pyrrhocoridae
Description: tRNA-Met
Source: RNAcentral
AGAAAAGUAAACUAAAUCAAAGUUAGUAGGUUCAUACCCUAAAUAUAGAAUAUUUUCUCUUUUCUA